Molecule: long non-coding RNA, 2185 nt
Filed under: Homo sapiens (human)
Lineage: Eukaryota; Metazoa; Chordata; Mammalia; Primates; Hominidae
Description: non-protein coding CPB2-AS1:15
Source: RNAcentral
AUGCGAGCGGUAAGAGUGCGGCGGGACUUGGAAAUCGAAUCUGUGCUCUGUGAGAGAUCCUAGGAAAGGAAACUGGGAGCCCGGGAGAACUAAAAUUCCCAAUUAAAAGUGAAUUUAAAUCUGAGCUGUUCUUAGACCCAGAAUUUCUUGCCUGAAGGAGGAAUCAGGUCCCCACAAGGAAAGACCCUGCAACUGUAUAAAAAAAGAAUCUAAAAAGAUCAUGACUCCUUCAGUCCUUUCCCAAAGAGACCUAUGGAAAUUUCCUCAGGAGCACCCACAACAGAAUAGACAUUAAACAGCUGCAUAAACAAAUGACUCAGCCAGUUGAUGUCAGUCAGCCUGUGUCAACAGCCACCCCAAUGCUGGCACAAAAGGCACUAGAACAGAAUAGCCUGAUGGCAGAGAUGAAGUGUGCAUGGCUCCAGCAGCACGGACUCCUCUCAUUAAGGCUGAUCUAGCUACUGUUGCUGCCCCAUGUCUAACUUGCCAGCAACGGAGACCAAAGUUGAGCCCCGGAAUCAGCACCAUUCCUCAUAGAGACCAGCUAGUCACUGGGUGGAAGAGGGACCAAGCAAAACCCCAGAAGAGUUGAUCUCAAAGCUUAUUUUAUGAAGAAAAUUGACCUGAGUGACACAAAGGGUUGGACUGUAGUAGAUGUCACGUUUUGCUGCCUAGAUCUCCAUCCAGGGAUGAACUCUUAUUUCCUCAGCUUCUUUGUCUCCUCAGCUUCUGGGAGGGUUGGCAGCUGAUAUUCUCACCUGAGUCCCUUUCUAGGACUUGCCCUUGCCUGAAGAGAGCUGUGCUGCCCAACAUGAUGCCUCCUCCAAGGUACAAUCCACACCCAGUGACUAAUAAACAGGGGUUACAAAGGCAUGCCUGCUUGCCCCAGUUUGGGACAACUUUACCAGGCCAACCCAGCCUCAAGGCUCUCCACAGGAACAGGUGAGGCCAUAGUUGUGAUUACAUCACAGGUCAGUUUCUCCUCUGCCCAAGCCUUCUUCCUUCAUUCCUCCACAGAUGCUGAUCCUGAGAUUCCUUUCCAGUAAACUUCCUCCAUGCAAUCUUCAUCUCAGGAGUCUGUUUCCUGGGGAAACUAACCUGCAACUGAUACAAAUGCCUAUUCUGUGAGAUAAAACACUAAAAGUACAAUGCGAGUGGUAUAAAUAUUCUGCUACAGGAAUACAAAGUCAGGUAUCAUUUUUGACUUAGGUAGUCAGAGAAUGGAGAUAUUCUGAGUUGGACUUCUGAGAUACUAGGAUUCAAUAGGUGAAGGGAAGAUGAGAUGGUAUAAGACUAACAUAGGCAGAAUUUUGCUAAACGAAUUGGAGAUGAAACAUCAUAAGUGCAGGUGCACAAGUAGAAAAGUAAAAUCAGAGCUCAAGGAAGGAGAAGUGAUCCAGCUGGGCAGAAAUAUGGGGCCUAUAUAGAGAUAUACCAGGAAAUAAAGCCAGGACGAAUGGCAGGGUAGGACCUGAUUGUUAAGGGUCUUAAAUGCUGGGGUCAAGAUUGUGGCCCUUACUUAAAAGUUGGUUGGGCAUGAUUUUGGGAGUUGUAGCAAAAGAUGUGGCAAACUCAAAGCUUCCUUUUCAUGUAAAGUAUAGAGAAGUGGAGGUUCAUAUCAUUAAAUCACUGUAAUUUCAGUGUGAACUUCUAACAAUUUGAGCUAACCAUGAGAUAGGACACCUUAUCAAGCAAUGAGCUCUUCAUUAUCUAAAGAGAUGCUGAAUUUCAAGUCCAUGUAGAGGAAGUCUUGUGUUGACUAGAGCAUAAUAUGUCUGGGGGGACUUUUCUUCUUUUUUACUGAUAUUUAGUAACUUGGAUAUUGUGCUAAGUGCUUUACAGGUAUUCUUAUUUAAUCCUCACAAGGCAGUAUGGUAGAUAAUCUAUUAUAUUGAAAAUAAUGGGCCAGGCACAGUGGCUCACGCCUGUAAUCCCAGCACUUUGGGAGGCUGAGGUGGGUGGAUCACCUGAGGUCAGGAGUUCAAGACCAGCCUGACCAACAUGGUGAAACCCUGUCUUUACUAAAAAUACAAAAAUAAGCGUGGCAUAGUAGCUCACACCUGUAGUCCCAGCUACUCAGAAGGCUGAAGCACGAGAAUCACUUGAACCCACGAGGUGGAGGUUACAGUGAGCCAAAAUCACACCACUGGACUCCAGCCUGGGUAAGAGAGCAUGACUAGGUCUC